Molecule: ribosomal RNA, 194 nt
Filed under: uncultured bacterium
Lineage: Bacteria
Description: partial 16S ribosomal RNA
Source: RNAcentral
AUUACCGCGGCUGCUGGCACGUAGUUAGCCGGUGCUUAUUCUUCAGAUACCGUCAACGGAACGUAUUAUUCGUACGUCCCUUUUCGUCUCUGACAAAAGCGGUUUACAACCCGAAGGCCUUCAUCCCGCACGCGGCAUGGAUGGAUCAGGGUUUCCCCCACUGUCCAAAAUUCCCCACUGCUGCCUCCCGUAGG